This 222-nucleotide unclassified non-coding RNA is filed under the name Hevea brasiliensis (rubber tree). Lineage: Eukaryota; Viridiplantae; Streptophyta; Magnoliopsida; Malpighiales; Euphorbiaceae. The record is from RNAcentral.
AGUGAAGAAAAGGACUUUUUUUUUUCUUUUUGGCGUUGGAGAUGUGGAGGAAUAAUAUCACCAUAAAUUGUGGAGUUAGCAAAUUUCUCUGUCUAUUCAAAUGAAUAAAGCAAAUAUUUCAAAAUUGAAAAAAUAAAAAAAGAAGAGAGGAGGGAAAUGAUUUGAUGAAGAUAAAGAAAAAGUGGUUUAAGGUAAAGCUACCCCACCAAUGCCUGAUCUUUU